GUGCCAGCAGCCGCGGUAAUACGUAGGGUCCAAGCGUUAUCCGGAAUCACUGGGCGUAAAGCGUGCGUAGGUGGGCGCUUAAGUGAGAGGUUAAAUCGUGUGGCUCAACCAUAUCGAUGCCUCUCAUACUGGGUGCCUAGAGGACAGCAGAGGCAAGUGGAACUGGUAGUGUAGCAGUGAAAUGCGUAGAUAUUACCAAGAACACCAAUGGCGAAGGCAGCUUGCUGGGCUACUCCUGACACUGAGGUACGAAAGCGUGGGGAGCAAACAGGAUUAGAUACCCUGGUAGUCC
This 292-nucleotide ribosomal RNA is filed under the name uncultured bacterium. Its description in RNAcentral is "partial 16S ribosomal RNA". It matches the Rfam family "Bacterial small subunit ribosomal RNA", at positions 505 to 796 of the family's 1533-position model. The record is from RNAcentral.